CGUUGCAGGCUAAGUUGAAACCAGGAUAGCCACAUCUUGCAGGUUGCAGCUCAGGAAUUCGGAACGGGAAUCGGAUGCCGAAGUUGUCCUUCAUACACUUGGAAAUAGAGCAACUUUGAGCUGUGGAUAAAGUGGGGAGGAUGAAGAGGAAGAAGAGGAGAAAGAUAUGUGAGAAAUCCAUAAGCUUUGCCA
Long non-coding RNA from Cucurbita maxima (winter squash), 192 nucleotides. RefSeq lists it as uncharacterized. The transcript has 2 exons. The record is from RefSeq and is a predicted model, not a curated record. NCBI's taxonomy places the organism in Eukaryota, Viridiplantae, Streptophyta, Magnoliopsida, Cucurbitales, Cucurbitaceae.